RNAcentral lists this unclassified non-coding RNA (354 nucleotides) under soil metagenome. RNAcentral describes it as "partial contains 5.8S ribosomal RNA, internal transcribed spacer 2, and large subunit ribosomal RNA". The stretch from base 1 to 120 matches the Rfam family "5.8S ribosomal RNA", at positions 35 to 154 of the family's 154-position model. The record is from RNAcentral.
GAUGAAGAACGCAGCGAAAUGCGAUAAGUAAUGUGAAUUGCAGAAUUCAGUGAAUCAUCGAAUCUUUGAACGCACAUUGCGCCCGCCAGUAUUCUGGCGGGCAUGCCUGUCCGAGCGUCAUUUCAACCCCCGAACCCCUCCGGGGGGUCGGCGUUGGGGAUCGGCCCUCCCUUAGCGGGUGGCCGUCUCCGAAAUACAGUGGCGGUCUCGCCGCAGCCUCUCCUGCGCAGUAGUUUGCACACUCGCAUCGGGAGCGCGGCGCGUCCACAGCCGUUAAACACCCAACUUCUGAAAUGUUGACCUCGGAUCAGGUAGGAAUACCCGCUGAACUUAAGCAUAUCAAUAAGCGGACGA